Molecule: ribosomal RNA, 405 nt
Filed under: Triticum aestivum (bread wheat)
Lineage: Eukaryota; Viridiplantae; Streptophyta; Magnoliopsida; Poales; Poaceae
Description: partial small subunit ribosomal RNA
Source: RNAcentral
AUGGCGGCGACUUCAGCCCUCUGGAUCUUCCUGCUCUUGGUGGUGUUCGCCUUGUCGACGGAAGCGUCGUCGGCUGCAGGUAGCAGCUGGUGCGUGUGCAAGCCAGAGCUGCCGGCGGCGGCGCUGCAGAGGACGCUGGACUACGCGUGCGGCCACGGCGCCGACUGCGCCCCGCUGCUCCCCGGCGGGCAGUGCCACUCCGGCACGGACACGGUGGCGACGCGCUGCUCCUACGCCGCCAACAGCUACUACCACAACGCCAAGGCCAACGGCGGCGGCGCCACCUGUGACUUCGGCGGCACCGCCACCCUCACCUCCACAGACCCCAGUAAGCCUCGUGCUUCGAUCGCUAGCUCUGCCAUCUUCCUUGGAUCUCAGGUGGAUGUGCAUGUACAACUCCAUUGA